UACGUAGGGUGCAAGCGUUGUCCGGAAUUAUUGGGCGUAAAGAGCUCGUAGGCGGUGUGUCGCGUCGGUCGUGAAAACUUGGGGCUUAACCCCGGGCCUGCAGUGGGUACGGGCAGACUAGAGUGCGGUAGGGGAGACUGGAAUUCCUGGUGUAGCGGUGAAAUGCGCAGAUAUCAGGAGGAACACCAAAGGCGAAGGCAGCGUCCUGGCAAGUCACUGACGCUCAGGUGCGAAAGCUAGGGGAGCGAACGGG
RNAcentral lists this ribosomal RNA (253 nucleotides) under uncultured bacterium. RNAcentral describes it as "partial 16S ribosomal RNA". It matches the Rfam family "Bacterial small subunit ribosomal RNA", at positions 524 to 776 of the family's 1533-position model. The record is from RNAcentral.